ACUGGAAUUCCUGGUGUAGCGGUGAAAUGCGCAGAUAUCAGGAGGAACACCGAUGGCGAAGGCAGGUCUCUGGGCAUUAACUGACGCUGAGGAGCGAAAGCAUGGGGAGCGAACAGGAUUAGAUACCCUGGUAGUCCAUGCCGUAAACGUUGGGCACUAGGUGUGGGGGACAUUCCACGUUUUCCGCGCCGUAGCUAACGCAUUAAGUGCCCCGCCUGGGGAGUACGGCCGCAAGGCUAAAACUCAAAGGAAUUGACGGGGGCCCGCACAAGCGGCGGAGCAUGCGGAUUAAUUCGAUGCAACGCGAAGAACCUUACCAAGGCUUGACAUGAACCGGAAAGACCUGGAAACAGGUCCCCCGCUUGCGGUCGGUUUACAGGUGGUGCAUGGUUGUCGUCAGCUCGUGUCGUGAGAUGUUGGGUUAAGUCCCGCAACGAGCGCAACCCUCGUUCUAUGUUGCCAGCGCGUGAUGGCGGGGACUCAUAGGAGACUGCCGGGGUCAACUCGGAGGAAGGUGGGGACGACGUCAAAUCAUCAUGCCCCUUAUGUCUUGGGCUUCACGCAUGCUACAAUGGCCGGUACAAAGGGUUGCGAUACUGUGAGGUGGAGCUAAUCCCAAAAAGCCGGUCUCAGUUCGGAUUGGGGUCUGCAACUCGACCCCAUGAAGUCGGAGUCGCUAGUAAUCGCAGAUCAGCAACGCUGCGGUGAAUACGUUCCCGGGCCUUGUACACACCGCCCGUCAAGUCACGAAAGUUGGUAACACCCGAAGCCGGUGGCCUAACCCCUUGUGGGAGGGAGCU
This 800-nucleotide ribosomal RNA is filed under the name Arthrobacter sp. Its description in RNAcentral is "bacterial SSU rRNA". It matches the Rfam family "Bacterial small subunit ribosomal RNA", at positions 660 to 1454 of the family's 1533-position model. The record is from RNAcentral. Lineage: Bacteria; Bacillati; Actinomycetota; Actinomycetes; Micrococcales; Micrococcaceae.